Ylistrum balloti is the source of this 4469-nucleotide long non-coding RNA. RefSeq lists it as uncharacterized. The transcript is spliced from 2 exons. Lineage: Eukaryota; Metazoa; Mollusca; Bivalvia; Pectinida; Pectinidae. The record is from RefSeq and is a predicted model, not a curated record.
UCGGUAAGAAUAUUAAUUAUAUCAAAUCUUUGAAUUUGAUUUGAAGUUCUUCUAGUUUUUUUAUUUCUCUUAAAUUUUUAUUUCUUGAAAUACCAAUAAAAGCUCCCCAAAUGUUAUUCUAUGCUAGAGAACCAGAAAAACAAUCUAUUCCAUAUAGACUAUUAACAUAACCAUUGUCAAAAGAUGUUAGAAGUCAUGUACUGACUAAUUAGUGUGGAGUCUAAUGUGCCUAGCAUUUGUAAACAGCACUUGAUAACUAGUGGUACUAGUCAGAGACCUACUCUUAACAGAGGAGGUAUCAGACAAUUGUAAGAUAUGAGUAGUAAUUUAGCUUGUGUAGAAUUUUGUUAGAUCAGCUCCCCACUUAAGCUUUUCUCUCUGUCACAUAAUGAGGUUUGAUAAACCACUCUAGACUCAAUUGUGUGAUACUUUCCACUCUAGGAAUAACCUCACUGAUAAUUUUUGAAAACAAUUGGUAGCUUGCUACCUUCCACUAUUGCUGGACUUACUAAAGUAAAAAAUGUCCCUGUUGUAAAUUUUCCUAAAUUCUCGUUCAUUUGUUUUUAAAGCUUAUUUUCAUAUUUCCUAAAGUUUCUAGUAUAAAUUUAUGUUGACCAGUAACAAACUACUUUGUUGGUACUUUAAGCUCAUUAAAGAAUCAUUCAUAAUCUGUAUUUUUACAUUUGAUUGUAAUUGUUGUGUCAGCUCUUUCUUUGUUCUAUGAUGUUUGUCUCUCAUCAACACACCAGUGAUAAAUUAUGUCCAUUAUUGCAUCCAGUAAAAACUACUUUGAUAUCAAGUUGUCAGAUCUGGACCUACCAAUGUUGUUGUUAUUACAUUAUUAGAGUGUCACUAAGCCUCAUAAAUGUUGACCUGAACUUAACUACGGUAACGUUCACAUUACCAAACUUUUUUAAUUACUGUGCCUGACCAGAAACAUUUCACCAUUUUCUGAAAUAAUCUUACUUAAUUUUGUACUUAGUCUCUUUUGAUUAUGUAAAGUUGGAAAGUAAGGUAUUUUACUGACUUGAGUGUAUAAAUUUGUUUACAAAACAGUGUGCAUGGUAUUUAAAUGUAUAUAGAGGAUUGUAAAUACAUUGUUGUGUAUAUAAGAUUGUUACUAUAUAUAGGUAUAAUAUGUAUAACCUGUUGUUACAUUGCAGGGACUUGUGUACUGGUAUAUAUAUAUAUAUAUAAGAUAUAUCUCUACUCUUAAAUGUUUGUACCCCAUCUCUAGAGAACUUAGUAAGGAAAAUUGUAAUUAUCAAUUUCUUUAUAUAACAGAUGUAUGUAUUUGUCUUUAAAAACAUUUCCCUUCAUGUUAACAGAUAGCUUUUGUGUGAAUGUCAUGCAUAAUGAUAGGUAUUAAGUUUCAAUGCAUGGUUAAGGAAUUAUGAAACAUCUGCCAAAUGAAGAUGAGCUGUUUGUUACAUAUUUAAUGAGAUGCACAGUAAAAUACGAUUUAGCAUGUAGUAUGCUGUCCCUGGUUUUAUCUGUGUGUUAGCGAUCAUAUACAAAAGAAGGGUUUGUUACUAAGAAUAUCAUGAAACUGUUGUGUUUGGGGUUUGUUUCUCCUACAAAUAUUGAUGGCAAUUAAUUUUGUUUUUAACUAUAUUCUGUUUGUUGUUUCUAUUUGUUAUUUAUUGUAUAAAUGUACAUUUUUGUAAGAAUGAAUUAUAUAUAUUUAUAUAUGUAUAUUUCUUACAAAAGUCAAAAUCAGAAGGUGCCGAAAAUUCAUUGUGAGUAUUCCAUUAAAAAGUCAGUAUCACAAAUUUUGUACAAAUCAUUAGAAAAUGUUAAUCUGUACAUAUAUCACUGUAGUCAGUAGGUAGCCUGAUAUGUGUGUGUAUGAUAUCACUGUAGUCAGUAGGUAGCCUGAUAUGUGUGUGUAUGAUAUCACUGUAGUCAGUAGGUAGCCUGAUAUGUGUGUGUAUGAUAUCACUGUAGUCAGUAGGUAGCCUGAUACGUGUGUGUGUGAUAUCACUGUAGACAGUAUGUAAGCCUGAUAUGUGUGUGUAUGAUAUCACUGUAGUCAGUAGGUAGCCUGAUAUGUGUGUGUAUGAUAUCACUGUAGUCAGUAGGUAGCCUGAUAUGUGUGUGUAUGAUAUCACUGUAGACAGUAGGUAGCCUGAUAUGUGUGUGUAUGAUAUCACUGUAGUCAGUAGGUAGCCUGAUAUGUGUGUGUAUGAUAUCACUGUAGUCAGUAGGUAGCCUGAUAUGUGUGUGUAUGAUAUCACUUUAGUCAGUAGGUAGCCUGAUAUGUGUGUGUAUGAUAUCACUGUAGUCAGUAGGUAGCCUGAUAUGUGUGUGUAUGAUAUCACUGUAGUCAGUAGGUAGCCUGAUACGUGUGUGUGUGAUAUCACUGUAGACAGUAUGUAAGCCUGAUAUGUGUGUGUAUGAUAUCACUGUAGUCAGUAGGUAAGCCUGAUAUGUGUGUGUAUGAUAUCACUGUAGACAGUAGGUAGCCUGAUAUGUGUGUGUAUGAUAUCACUGUAGUCAGUAGGUAGCCUGAUAUGUGUGUGUAUGAUAUCACUAUAGUCAGUAGGUAGCCUGAUAUGUGUGUGUAUGAUAUCACUAUAGACAGUAGGUAGCCUGAUAUGUGUGUGUAUGAUAUCACUUUAGUCAGUAGGUAGCCUGAUAUGUGUGUGUAUGAUAUCACUGUAGUCAGUAGGUAGCCUGAUAUGUGUGUGUAUGAUAUCACUAUAGUCAGUAGGUAGCCUGAUAUGUGUGUGUAUGAUAUCACUGUAGUCAGUAGGUAGACUGAUAUGUGUGUAUGAUAUCACUGUAGACAGAAUGUAGCCUGAUAUGUGUGUGUAUGAUAUCACUGUAGUCAGUAGGUAGACUGAUAUGUGUGUAUGAUAUCACUGUAGACAGUAGGUAGCCUGAUAUGUGUGUGUAUGAUAUCACUGUAGACAGAAUGUAGCCUGAUAUGUGUGUGUAUGAUAUCACUGUAGACAGUAGGUAGCCUGAUAUGUGUGUGUAUGAUAUCACUGUAGUCAGUAGGUAGACUGAUAUGUGUGUAUGAUAUCACUGUAGUCAGUAGGUAGCCUGAUAUGUGUGUGUGUGAUAUCACUGUAGUCAGUAGGUAGCCUGAUACGUGUGUGUGUGUGUGAUAUCACUGUAGACAGUAUGUAAGCCUGAUAUGUGUGUGUAUGAUAUCACUGUAGUCAGUAGGUAGCCUGAUAUGUGUGUGUAUGAUAUCACUGUAGACAGUAUGUAGCCUGAUAUGUGUGUGUAUGAUAUCACUGUAGUCAGUAGGUAACCUGAUAUGUGUGUGUAUGAUAUCACUGUAGACAGUAGGUAGCCUGAUAUGUGUGUGUAUGAUAUCACUGUAGUCAGUAGGUAGCCUGAUAUGUGUGUGUAUGAUAUCACUGUAGACAGUAUGUAAGCCUGAUAUGCCUGCCUUGUUUUGUAUGGAUUUUAAACAAAAAUUAUGAAUUUAUUUGGAGUCCUUUUAUAGCCUUCAUACCUUGUAUUUGUAUGAUACGUGUAUCAUGUAUAUUGUAGGAAAGUCCAGUUGGACCUGAAACAUUUAAUACAUUAUCAUUUUAUUUUGUUAAUAUUAUAUUGUCUUAUUUACAAACGGCGUGUAUAAGGCUUCAGUAAUUUUUCAUGAUCUUCUUUCUAUGGCAAGGUCAUUUAAAUCUUUCAUGGUUUAAGUAUGAGAAUCCUGUCUUCAAUUCAGUACCUGAUUUCUGUGAAUCUCUCCACCCCCAAAAUCUGUCUUAAGAUUAACUUUUGUCCAGCACCUGAAGCAAGACUUUGUCAGUAUUAUAAUAUAUUGUAUAUACUAGGAAAGGGGUAUGUAAUAGACAUCUCUCUGAAUAAAGGGCAUGCCAUAAAUUAACUUCAGGCUGAAAAGAUUCUCUGAUUUGCUCCAAUUUACAUAUUAUCGAGCAUUUCAUUUUAGUUUUAAAAGAAGAUUAACUUAAAUGAUAUAUUUACACAUAAUUACAAGAUGUGAUCAGUUUCAUUUUCAGUAAGUUUGAAAAUUUAAAUUUCAUAUUUUUUAAAUUGAAUGUUAUUGCCAGCUGGGAGAGUGAUAGCAAAAUUGUCUCUGAGCUAAAACACAAUUAAUGUGUACUGGACAAAUCAGAAUGUAAUAGACAGCAGGGGCCUGUAAAACUGAUGCAAUACAUUUGUACAACUGUCCUGGACAGGGCUGUAUUAGAUCAAUUUUAAAUGACCAUAGAUAGCAUAAAACAUUUAGGCAAGAUCUUUUGAAGAUUUCAACAAUACAUUGUACAUAUACUUACCCAGUGUAAAAACUCAUUUCAUUUACAUAUAGCACUGAGCUGUAUCUGUUAAACUUAAUCUUUUAGAUAGGUCAAUGAAGGUGAAGAACCCAAAGAUGAAGUAUUUUAUUAAGGUUUGUGUUGGUAACUGUUACACUUUAUAAAAUGACCUCACACAUUGUAUGUACCCUUUGUACAUAAAAACCAAUGGUAGAAUAAAGCUGUUGAAUAUGA